This 406-nucleotide ribosomal RNA is filed under the name uncultured bacterium. Its description in RNAcentral is "partial 16S ribosomal RNA". It matches the Rfam family "Bacterial small subunit ribosomal RNA", at positions 30 to 526 of the family's 1533-position model. The record is from RNAcentral.
AUUGAACGCUGGCGGCAGGCCUAACACAUGCAAGUCGAACGAGUGGCGGACGGGUGAGUAUUGUCUGGGACACUGCCUGAUGGAGGGGGAUAACUACUGGAAACGGUAGCUAAUACCGCAUACCAUCAGAUGUUCCCAGAUGGGAUUAGCUAGUUGGUGGGGUAACGGCUCACCACGGCGACGAUCCCUAGCUGGUCUGAGAGGAGGACCAGCCACACGGGAACUGAGACACGGCCAAGCACCCUACGGGAGGCAGCAGUGGGGAAUAUUGCACAAUGGGCGCAAGCCUGAUGCAGCCAUGCCGCGUGUAUGAAGAAGGCUUUCGGGUUGUAAAGUACUUUCAGCGGGGAGGCGUUACCCGCAGAAGAAGCACCGGCUAACUCCGUGCCAGCCGCCGCGGUAAUAC